AUUGAACGCUGGCGGCAUGCCUUACACAUGCAAGUCGAACGGCAGCACAGUCUUCGCCCUCUCUUACGGGGGCCGACUGGUGGAUGAUUCAGCGGUACAUCGCCAUCUAUUGUUUCUAGCCCGACAACAUCGGGAUUCAUACGCUAUUCCCCCAUAGGGCCUACGGGUGAAACCAGGAGACCUUCCGCUCUUGCGCCAUCCAAUGAGCCGAUGUCGGAUUAGCUAGUUGGCGGGGUAAAGGCGCACCAAGGCGACGAUCCGUAGCUGGUCUGAGAGGAUGAUCAGCCACACUGGGACUGAGACACGGUCCAGACUCCUACGGGAGGCAGCAGUGGGGAAUAUUGGACAAUGGGGGCAAGCCUGAUCCAGCCAUGCCGCGUGGGUGAAGAAGGCCUUCGGGUUGUAAACCGCUUUUGUUCGGGAAGAAAAGCAGUAGGCUAAUACCCCGGGGGUAUGACGGUACCCGAAGAAUAAGCACCGGCUAACUUCGUG
RNAcentral lists this ribosomal RNA (492 nucleotides) under uncultured bacterium. Its description in RNAcentral is "partial 16S ribosomal RNA". It matches the Rfam family "Bacterial small subunit ribosomal RNA", at positions 30 to 507 of the family's 1533-position model. The record is from RNAcentral.